This 22-nucleotide microRNA is filed under the name Cordylochernes scorpioides. Lineage: Eukaryota; Metazoa; Arthropoda; Arachnida; Pseudoscorpiones; Chernetidae. The record is from RNAcentral.
GCGCGAAGUUUGGGACUGGUGA